GUCUUGAGCGUAUUGUGGGUUUCCUGUGUUGCAUACCUAACUAAUGGUAUCGUUUUGAUUGAUCGAAGUCCCUUUUCAUCUUGUGUUGCCUUUGCGACGCAUGAUGAACCUCGAAGCGGUCUCUAUGUUCCACCACGUUGAUGCUAGUGUUUUGAUGUUGUGGCCCAUUGAGCGUUGCUUGGUUUCGUGGAUACAGAACAUGAUUUGGGCAUAGGGUCACUCGUGACUCUUGUUUUGUCCUUUACCAGUGUUCUUUAUAACGACGGUUCAUGCGCGCCUAGGCUCGUACCUGCGCGAUGUUCUUUGUCGAAGAGGAAUGCUACCUGGUUGAUCCUGCCAGUAGUC
Molecule: unclassified non-coding RNA, 345 nt
Filed under: Senecio byrnensis
Lineage: Eukaryota; Viridiplantae; Streptophyta; Magnoliopsida; Asterales; Asteraceae
Description: partial external transcribed spacer
Source: RNAcentral